This 26-nucleotide non-coding RNA is filed under the name Mus musculus (house mouse). Lineage: Eukaryota; Metazoa; Chordata; Mammalia; Rodentia; Muridae. The record is from RNAcentral.
UCAGAGAUACAGCCACAAGAUGUAGC